GACGAACGCUGGCGGCGUGCUUAACACAUGCAAGUCGAACGGAAAGGCCCUGCUCUUGUGGGGUGCUCGAGUGGCGAACGGGUGAGUAACACGUGAGUAACCUGCCCUUGACUUUGGGAUAACUUCAGGAAACUGGGGCUAAUACCGGAUAGGAGCUCCUGCUGCAUGGUGGGGGUUGGAAAGUUUCGGCGGUUGGGGCUGGACUCGCGGCUUAUCAGCUUGUUUGUCUGGUAGGGGUUUACCAAGUGUUAGACGGAUAGCCGGCGUGAGAGGUUGACCGGGCACCAGGGGACUGCGAGACGGCGCAGUAGCCUACGGGAGGCAGCAGGCGGGAGUAUGGCGGAAUGAGGGCAAGCGAGUGACGAAAGCGCCGGGUGCGGGAUGACGGCCUUCGGGUUGUGAACCGCUUUCGCCGGUGCCGAGGAGUGAGUGACGGUAAUGGGUAAGGAAGCACCGGCUAACUACGUG
Molecule: ribosomal RNA, 468 nt
Filed under: uncultured bacterium
Lineage: Bacteria
Description: partial 16S ribosomal RNA
Rfam family: Bacterial small subunit ribosomal RNA
Source: RNAcentral